GUUGGAUAACCAGCAACUUCUGCAGCUACAGUUCACAGUUGCUUGUUAACGGGAUAGUGUGUCGUCAGAGCCACAUCAAGAUAGGAGGGAUUUUUUUCAGAUGACCGGGAGAGGGCGCUAGUGAAAGGUGGCACUCGUUGACGGCUAGAGCGCUGCACGCGGCUGUGAGGCGGUGAGAGCGAGCCAGAGAGCAAACGGCUUCUGCGAUACCUAACUAGCAGACGACAAUCGAGAGAAGCGCGGGAAGGAUUAAAACAUCAGGAGUGUCAACAUGCGAUUUCAAAACUUCGCACUCCAAUAAAGAUUUCUCAGAUCUCUUGAUCUACGAACAGCGCUAUCAUGCUGUCUUGCAUUGGACUGAUCCCAAGAGGCUCAAACACUACAGGAAGGGCAAUGCUAUCCGUAGCAUUGGAAACAAGCUGGAGGAUGCUCACAGAAGCGUGUUUUUCAUCAAAGGGCAAUGUUACAAAGGGAACAUGACUUGUAAACAAAACAACUUUCUCCUGAUCGUAGCUGGACUGUUGACUGCUUCAGGACAGGAAUGAGUAUGGUUGCUCUGGUUGUGGUACUGUGCAUUGUUUGUGGGGUGGCUUCCAACACAGAGACAAAACAGGAUGUAUACAUAGCGGGGUUGUUCCCUACGGACGAGAACAUCCCCGAGGGAGCUAUUGGACGGGGUGUCAGACCCGCAGUGGAACUAGCAUUGCAGCAUAUCAAUAACCAUUCCGGAAUACUCGACCGCUAUAACCUCAAGAUGACUUGGAAUGACACAAAGUGUGACAUGGCGAUGGCAACGCGGGUGUUUUUCGAUAUGAUGGAUGAUCACAACUCUACCAAGGUGAUCCUCUUCGGAGACGCCUGCUUCCAAGUGACGGGGCCGAUCUCUCAGAUUUCCAAAUACUGGAAUAUGUUCCAGCUCUCCUACGCCGACACGAACCCACUGCUGUCAGAGAGGGAUAAAUACCCAUUCUUCUUCAGGACGGUACCCAGUGACUCUGACUUCAACCCAGCGAGAUUGGCGCUCUUAAGGAGCUUCAACUGGACACGUGUGGGGACGCUGUUCCAGUUUGAUCCCAAAGGUUCAGCCAAGUACAAUUACGCACACAACCGCUUGGUGACACUCCUAGAAAAGACAAACAUAAAGAUUGACCAGGAACAGAGUUUCGCCGUGGACCCGGAAGCGGCAUUAGAAAAAUUAAAAGCGGAGGAUAUACGGAUAAUACUGGGGAACUUUGACGAAAGCACCGCCAGACGGGUCUUCUGUACCGCUCACAAGAAACAAAUGUACGGCGCUCGCUACCAGUGGAUGAUUGUUGGAGAGUACGAGGAUGUGGGAUGGUGGAGAAAACCUGACUCGAAGAUCACGUGCACAAAGUCGGAAAUGAAUGAUACGGUGCACGGUUGCCUAACAACUGACCUCCUGGAGCUGAGCAGAAGUAACGAAACAACUGUCUCAGGAUUGCGUCCAGCGGCUUACGAAGCUCUCUAUAAAGAGUGGAGCGGUACACAGUUCAGCAAGUUUCACGGCUACGCCUACGACGGUGUGUGGGUGAUCGCCAAAGCCAUCGACUCUCUUCUUGUGGGUACCAGCCCGAACCUCAUCUCGGAGGACACGUUCAGAGGGCCCAACGUCGGCAAGGUGCUCAAUGAGACGAACUUCCUCGGAGUGACGGGCAGGGUUCAAUUCAACAAUGGCGAUCGUCUCGGGCAGAUCCGCAUCCGGCAAAUCACAGAUGGGAAAAUGGUGGAUAUAGGUGAAUACCACGCCUCAACAGAUAGUCUCGACUUUCACCGUGAAAUCCAGUGGAGAGGAAGUGGGCCUCCCAAAGACCGGAACAUUGAGUACCCGGAGAUGCGCAGGGUGUCUGUGGCCGUGUACAGUAGCCUGUGUGUGUUGGCUGCCCUCGGUAUCAUCAUGGCAGUGGGCUUUCUGACACUCAACAUUCUGUACAGAAGACACAGAUAUAUCAAGAUGUCGAGUCCAAAUAUGAACAACCUGAUUAUCAUUGGAUGUAUCCUGUGUUACCUCAGUGUGUUCCUGUUGGGAACGGACGGUGGAGUUGUCUCCCCUUCAUUGUUCCGCUAUUUGUGUCAGAUCCGUGCCUGGGUGCUAGCUUUGGGCUUCACUUUAGCAUUUGGGGCCAUGUUCAGUAAGACGUGGAGGGUACACGCUAUUUUCACCAACAUCAAACUCAAUAAGAAGGUGAUCAAGGACUACAAGCUGUUUCUGAUCGUGUGUGUGUUGGUGUUACUGGAUGCUGUCAUCCUUGUGGCCUGGCAAGUGUACGACCCCAUACAGAGGGCCGAGAAAGACCUGGCGCCGGAGGUUUAUGAUGACUACAGUGUAACACCUGUGUUAGAAUACUGCAAGAGCGAAUUUAUGGAGAUCUGGUUGGGAUCUAUAUAUGCAUAUAAAGGUCUGCUCCUAGUAUUUGGUUGUUUUCUGGCGUGGGAAACACGACACGUGAGCAUCCCCGCGUUGAACGACUCCAAGUACAUCGGCAUGAGCGUGUACAACGUGGUCAUUAUGUGCGUAUGCGGGGGUGCCGUGUCCUUCCUCAUCAAGGACCAACCCAACUCCUUCUUCAUCAUCAUUAGCCUCUGUAUCCUGUUCUGUACAACAAUCACACUGUGCCUUGUCUUUAUGCCAAAGAUGAUUACACUGCGGCGGAACCCGAAAGGUAACGACACGCGUGUUCGAGCAACGCUGAAGAAGACGUCGAAGAAAGACGCCAUAGAUAGCAGCGAACUCCAGCUGAAAAUUAGAACUAUAGGAGAUGAAAAUAGGAAAUUAAGAGAGAUUUUAGCUCAACGAGCCUCCGAGAUAGAGCAUAUACUGGAGCAGCUAGGCGAGGAGGCGUCAUCGUAUGACCUGGGCAUCAGAUCCGCCGUGCACAAGAAGGUGCUGGAGCUCAGGGUCUCGGAUGUCUCGCCUAGCAAAAUAUCUCGUUCUUCCAGUGCCUCUGAGGCUGACUGCACCUCCACGUACUCCGAGGUCAGUGGCACCACGAGUCUGUGGGCCGACUCCCCGCCCCCGGCGAGGACCUCCAAAGUCCGAUUACUCACUGACAGACUUCGACCAGAGGUGAUAGAGCUAGCGGAUCUCAGAAACAAGGGUAUGACUUCGCGCACCUGCAACGUGUUAUCUCCGGCCGAGGAGGAGGAUGACGACGAUGACCCGUUCGGAGGUGUCUAUCUGGGACCUCCUGAAUUAGACAUACCUAAAGCUAAAGUUAAUUUUGAUAGCAUGCCUGAUAGAAUAGCAAAAGAAGAGCACCCAACAGUAGAAAGCAUAGCUCGCCCUUCCUGCUCCAGGCUUCGCGCAGACUCGGACGUUUCCUCGGAGACUGAUCAAGAUCGCAGUGAGCCAAUCAGCGUUCCCAGUCUACAAGGUCUGCGCAUGUGCAAGCGAACCCUAUUUCCUAUCUUGACUUUCUGUCACUAAUAUUAAGGCAGUAUGAGAUUGUGCUGAAAGGACAUUGUUAUGUUUCACAGGAACCAUUGUGAAAAUAACACUGAACCUCCGUGCCCAAUCGUACACUGCCUGCACUAACAAACAACUGUGGAAUGUACUUAAAUACUAGUAUAUGAGUAUCUCCUAACGUGUGGUAUAUAUAGAUGUUGUGUGCAUGGAAUCUUACUAUGGUUAUCGUGUGUCGUAGCGUAUAUAUAUAUAUAUAUUACUUACUAAUACAAUUAUAUCAAAAUUGAAAACGAAAAUUGAAAUAUUGAACACACAAAAAUACGUUUGAUUUAAAACAAUACCAGUUUCUUAUGCAAUCAUAUAAAUUCAAAAGUUAAAACGUUGAAUACAUCUAAAUAAUAAACGUUUGUUUUAAACAUUCUACAAUAAUCUACACAGACAGAUACUUUAGACAUACAAUUUUAAAAAACAAUAUUUGCCAUGAUGUGAUGCCGCACGCCAUAUAAAGAUAAUACUGUCUGGAGGCGGAGGAGGACGCCCGAUAUCCUAAAAGUGUUUUCUCAGGGAUGAGGAUGAGGGAUGGAAUAGAGACUUGCUGACAGAGUUCCUUAAGAUGAAGCUGUUCGGGUGUGACCUAUGACGUUAUGCCCGGCUAUGUAGACAGGAUUGUGGUCAAGAGUUCCUUUAGAUCUUGACACGAGUUAGGCGAGAAAUAUCGGCCAUUGAUGUUACAGGUCACGGACGCACCUUCCAGGGUAUAUCUUCCUCUUAAUUACGUUUGUCUAGUUAAUUACAUCGAUGUCGCGCUAACGUCACUCGGCAGGCAAAUCUCUUUGUUUGAGUAGACUGACUCAGCCCUGGCAGAAACGGGCCAUUAAUCACACACGCUGUGUGUAAUGGAAUUAUGACAAUAUCGCCGUAGCCGUAAAGUGGUCGCACGCGUAGUAAUCGACCGGAAAAUGGUCGUAAUUGUCGUGAGAUAGAUUAAAGCCAAGCGAGACAUCGGCAGGAACAAAACAAGACAAAUAUGUGAAACGCCGUCCAGAAAGAGGUCGAUUUGAUCCCUCAGUCCGUCUAAGCCUUCAAAGAGGCAAUUAUGACUCUUCAUGAUCAGUGAUUCGACCAUAUAUCCACUAACAGUAAUAGACUCUUCUUUUUAGUAAAAUUAUCCAAGUGAAACACAGACGGAAAGCUCCAGAUUGCUCUGUAACGAAACAUAAGACUUCAAUGUUCAAUGUUAAUCUCUAUUUGCCGCCGGAGGAUUAUCAGUUUACAAACUUUCGUUGAUGCAACUGUCACGACAUCACCCUGAGCAACACGUGAAGCGACUGACUGAAAACGUAUUGGUUAACCUUCACCAACAACUUGGUCUGUAUUUCGUUCACGAAGCUGUGUUUUUUCAAUCAAUAUUUUUUCAUACAAGUCAUCUGACCUCGGAUAUAAUUACGGUGCCUUCAUCGUUGAAAAUUUGAAUAGAAACCUAAUUUUCGUCGUCUCAAACGAAAAUAAAUUUCGAAUGUUACGCAGCUGGUUUCUGAUGGUGACAAAGCAUCAUGAAUAAUGGGAUGAUACAUGUGGCACUGCGCACAGUCGAAGAUGGCAUAAUGUGAUUAGACGCACAUAAAGAGAAAAGUCGACUGGAUUAUUUCCAAGCAUAUUUGAUAAAUAUGAAUAUUACACCAAUGGCAGUUACCCAGCAACCGUUUAUGUAAGUCCUGACAUAACACGCGAAAAAUGCACAAUAUGCAACUUCAACAUGACAUAUGCAACUCGCAAACAUCUGCCGGAUCCAUAAUUAUCAUCAUACUCAAGAACUUGAAACCUCCUCAAUCCGGAGUGUUAAUAUACUAGUAUCCGGUUUAAGGAGGUAUAUAUACCCAUUUGUCAAUUACGUCGGCAUGCCAGUUUCUGAAUUUUUUGUUUCAGACUGAAUGCAAUUUGGUACGAUUUGUGUGCGUGGUUUGACUUUAAAUCAUACAACUCAUUCAUUCACGCUAUGUACGUGCAUUUCAUGUUCUGCUUUGUGAAUUCUGCAUGAUCACGUGACUUACCAUUUCAGCAUGUAAUAUAAGGACCUUACAUUUAUUUAGCUGAAAGCCAUCCAUACGAAACUAUUCAGGCUGUAAUCUCCAGUUUUUAUAUAAAUGAUAUUUGACUCAAGCGGUAACUUAGAAUCAGUCGUUAGGAAUUACGACCUAGCUUCCGGCCUGAUUAAAUAUUUCUGCUAACUUCAACAAAAAAAGCAUUCAAUUAGUCAAAAUGUUAUUUUGUGGAAAUUUCUUAAAGAGUGUAUCUCAUAGAAGUUUACAUCAAAAGGUGUUUCCAUAACCUACUCAGAAUUGCACAAGAUCAGCUGACGUUAAGUUAGAAGAAACUCAGUGCACUUUAGAUUCAGAAGGAGAAUUCAAGUGCUGUAGGCAGAACAGACAUCCAAAUAUAGCCAUUUUUAAUGUCUCUGUUAUUCUAAACUUCUUCUGAACUUUCAGAUACAUUUUCGGGAUAAAUUCAAACUGACAGAAAAAAUAUGAUUUGUAUAAGAUAUUAAUGAAGAAAAUAUUCAGAUACAAAUAUACAGUUAGAUGGAUUCACCAGAAAUGUGCUUGCAGCUGUUUGUCAUUACAGUAAGAAACAAUAUUGAUUAAAUUAAAUCUAUGCAAGCCAUUCUCCCGUCCAUUCAGGGCUUAUAAGGCGUGACAUUUGAGAGUACGUCUCUAUUAAGCAUGAUGCUAACGAACUGCUCUGUCUUUGCUGUUGGGUGUAGGCCAACUUGUCUCAUGUCUGGCAUUAUUAUAAAAGUUGACAUUUGGAUGUUGGGACAACAAUGCUUAAUCCGAGACGCUACUGUUAGCCCACGUUCCCAACAGCAAGGAUGUCUUUAUUAACUCUACUAACACGACGCUGCCGUCUGAUGUUCUCGGUCUUGCCACAUAAGUCACCAUACGAGCAGAUGUUUACAAUUCUAAUUAUAACCCUCAUAUCUGCCCAUCUAUGUUAAAAUUAAUAAUAUACGUAUGUAGAUGUCUUCAAUCCGUAAAGUGCUAGUUGUCUGAAGGUUUGUUAAUGUCAAGUUCCAAAGACCAUCACUGAAUCACGCUGUGAUACUUUUCUGAUGUUACUUGUAAAACCAUUCAAAAUUUUAUCUUAAGAGGCUUUGUAUUUUGAAAAAAAGAUGUACUGAGUUUAUACCGACGAAGGAGUGAUGCAGCCGAAAUUCCAAAUGGUAUGUUAUUAAACUGAAUUCUUUAGAAUUUAAAAAAGAGGGUUCAGGAUGCAGCAAUACAGAAUGGUGUGUGGCAAGGUCGACCAACAUCCCCUUUUCCAUUUCACUAACAUAACUAACGCCUUGGUUGUUUCAGAGAAUGAUGACGAUGUCGACCCGACCAGGUCGCUGCUUUCAUAGUAUGCAUGUUUGGCGGUAUAACAGCGCGCCUCUCAACAGCGAAAUUAGGACGCGGGAGGCGUCACAGUGCCCCCUGCAAUAUUUGGCCAAUCACAGAGGCUACAGAAGAAACAGAGAGUGAGACGGAAAAUAGUCCGCAAGAAAACAUUGUGA
This 6977-nucleotide unclassified non-coding RNA is filed under the name Haliotis rufescens (red abalone). RNAcentral's name for it is "gamma-aminobutyric acid type B receptor subunit 2- like, transcript variant X1". Lineage: Eukaryota; Metazoa; Mollusca; Gastropoda; Lepetellida; Haliotidae. The record is from RNAcentral.